GGACCGGGUAUGACAUGCUUUGCAAGCAGGGGGCCGCGGGUUCGAGUCCCGCCACGUCCACCA
RNAcentral lists this transfer RNA (63 nucleotides) under Acidobacteriota bacterium. RNAcentral's name for it is "Acidobacteria bacterium tRNA-Ala". Lineage: Bacteria; Pseudomonadati; Acidobacteriota. The record is from RNAcentral.